Molecule: unclassified non-coding RNA, 378 nt
Filed under: fungal sp.
Lineage: Eukaryota; Fungi
Description: partial internal transcribed spacer region
Rfam family: Eukaryotic small subunit ribosomal RNA (bases 1-46)
Source: RNAcentral
AAGUCGUAACAAGGUUUCCGUAGGUGAACCUGCGGAAGGAUCAUUAACAACAUAUCCUAACUUAAAAACCCUGUGAACUUUCAACCCCAAACUGCUUGAUCCCAGUACCUCAGCAAUCUCUGGUAAAUCAUAGUGAACAGCUUUGAUUCGGAGACCUCUGAAUAACCUUGGGCGGUCGCGGUUGGUAAGGCAAGUGACCCGGUACCCUCAAGACCAGUGUUCAAUGAUCUGUCAGUGUUCAUUACGCUGGAGGCCGACACGGCCGGCGACUGGGUCAGCGAGCUCUGCUCCCACUGUUACUACUUACAAGAUUUCCCAAUUAGUGAAAGCUAUUGGGCUAUAACUAAACGACUGUUAACAAUGGAUAUCUCGAUUCUC